RNAcentral lists this ribosomal RNA (1142 nucleotides) under metagenome. RNAcentral's name for it is "bacterial SSU rRNA". It matches the Rfam family "Bacterial small subunit ribosomal RNA", at positions 376 to 1520 of the family's 1533-position model. The record is from RNAcentral.
CGAAAGCCUGACGCAGCCACGCCGCGUGAGUGAUGAAGGCCUUCGGGUCGUAAAACUCUGUCGGGAGGGACGAAGGGGCAACCCUGACGGUACCUCGCAAGAAAGCACCGGCUAACUCUGUGCCAGCAGCCGCGGUAAUACAGAGGGUGCAAGCGUUGCUCGGAUUUAUUGGGCGUAAAGCGCACGCAGACGGUAUGGAAGGUCGGACGUGAAAUCCCUGGGCUCAACCUAGGAACUGCGUUCGAAACCACCAAACUAGAGUUCGGAAGAGGGAGGCGGAAUUCCUGGUGUAGAGGUGAAAUUCGUAGAUAUCAGGAGGAACACCAGCGGCGAAGGCGGCUUCCUGGUCCGAUACUGACGUUCAGGUGCGAAAGCGUGGGUAGCAAACAGGAUUAGAUACCCUGGUAGUCCACGCUGUAAACGAUGAGUGCUAGAUGUUGGGGGUAUUCACUCCCUCGGUAUCGAAGCUAACGCGCUAAGCACUCCGCCUGGGGAGUACGGCCGCAAGGUCGAAACUCAAAGGAAUUGACGGGGGCCCGCACAAGCGGUGGAGUAUGUGGUUUAAUUCGACGCAACGCGCAGAACCUUACCCAGCCUUGACAUCCCUGGAAUUCGGUGGAAACAUCGGAGUGUCCUCGCAAGAGGAAGCCAGGAGACAGGUGCUGCAUGGCUGUCGUCAGCUCGUGUCGUGAGAUGUUCGGUUAAGUCCGGCAACGAGCGCAACCCCUGUCGUCAGUUGCCAUCAUUCAGUUGGGAACUCUGACGAAACUGCCGGCGUCAAGCCGGAGGAAGGUGGGGAUGACGUCAAGUCCUCAUGGCCUUUAUGGCUGGGGCUACACACGUACUACAAUGGUAGGUACAAAGGGGAGUAAGACCGCGAGGUGGAGCCAAUCCCAAAAAACCUGCCUAAGUUCAGAUUGCAGUCUGCAACUCGACUGCAUGAAGUCGGAAUCGCUAGUAAUCGCGGAUCAGAAUGCCGCGGUGAGUACGUUCCCGGGCCUUGUACACACCGCCCGUCACACCACGAAAGUUGGAUGGACCCGAAGUGGCUGGCCCAACCCGCAAGGGAAGGAGGUCCCUACGGUCUGUUCGAUGAUUGGGGUGAAGUCGUAACAAGGUAGCCGUAGGGGAACCUGCGGCUG